GUUGAAAAAAACUAGGCGGAUUCUUUUUUGCUCUGGCGGGACGGAUCUCAGGAUUAGCCAAACCCCAAACUGGGUCCUAUUUCCACCGAAUCCAUGUUCGCCGAAGCCCUCUCUCGAAUCCAUCUUUGCCGAAUCCAUCUCUGCCGAAGCUACCACGCACGGGACCAACAUGUGGCAACGGCCACGACUAGGCAAACUGACGGCUACUACGCGCGAUGACUCCGGAGAAACAGUAAAGACACAGCCGGACACAAGUAAUAGAGGAAGCUUUAUCACAACUCGCAAUUGAUGGCGGCGAUGCCUGCUUUGUGCGUUUUCGAGCAAAAAUGAAAAAUGCCGCGUGCAGCGGGGAGGGGGGCUACCACUGGUCGUUGUCGGAGCCUCCUUGUUGUCUUGAGAGAAAGAAACACUUUUUUUCUGAAAAUAGAAAUUUUGAUCUUUUGGCAUGGGAAUUUUACUUGUUAACCAUUUUUUUGUUCAAUUUUCUCCUCUUCUUGUCAUGCUGGUUAUCACAAAAGAGUCCCUCCUAGUAGAUCAGGGAUCGCGCUGUUGGUGCUUAAAGAACAACAUACAAGGACCCUUCUUAUUCAUUACAUCUGGGAAGUUGAGAGGAUCUUUGAACUGCUCGAUCAAAAGGGGAAGAACCGAUUGUUUUUGAAAGUGGGAGUCAAUGUUGUGGAGAACAAUGGCUUUUCCACUAUAGCAAAUCCAAUCACCUAUAAUGUUUGUUUUGAUACCAUUCCUACAUAUGCAAUCACUAAGAUGGACUGUGGGCAUAUUUUCUACAAUGAUUGUUUUUCUCACAAUCCUUCAGCAAACAACAAUUUCAAGUCAGUAAUUGAGGGUGCUGAUAAAGAUGAUCGUCUAGAAAAAUUAAGCAAACAAGUUGAACAAGUGCUCAAACUUUCAGAGUCUCCUGAGAAAACCAAACAAAAUCUGGCCAAUAUAAUUUACACAAAAGUUUAUCUUGGGAUAGUGCCUUUUUACAAGUGAAGGGGUUCUGGAUCAUGAAGAGCUGGCCAUUGUGAAUAGCACAUUCAAUAAAACAUUGAGGCAGAUUUGUUUAAUAAUUGUGCAGGAGAUUAGGAACACAAGAAGUUGAGCGGAAGAUGCAGUUAGCGAGAAGGAUGUCACGGGAAGGAAAUCAACAGGCUCGGUGCAUCCGAAAGACGAGAUGCUGUGGAAGAGUACACAGGUAGACAAGAAGGACGUGCGCGGCGUUUGAGGGACGAAAAGUCAAGAAGGAAGUCUGCUCGAGGAGAAGGUCGGAGUUGGGUUUAGGUAAGCUCAACUCCGGUUGACCGGAGAAUUACCUACGCGAAGAACUACGCGAAGAGAUCAGCUUUGAGCUGAGUUGCCCUAUGGAAGGCACCUUCCAUGGUUGGAAGGCGCCUUCGAUGAAUAGUACAAAGGUGCCUUCCAGCCUUUGAAGGUGCCUUCCGAUAGUCGUUAGUCACGGAUAGAGUUUUAUCCGUAACGAAUAAAACUUAUAUGAUGGAAGGCUCCUUGGAUCACCUUUGAGGCACCUUUAAGCUGCGGAUAAAAUUUUUCAGGGGUUAUAAAAGAUCCCUGGACCUAGAAAAUAAUUAUCAACUAUUGUAUUCAUUUCCUAGUAAUUUUAUGAGCAUUUAACGAAUGUAAAAAGCUUCUCUGCCUUCAACGAAGAAGACUUUUUAGUGUUUUUAUUUGUCUUGGAUUAACAAUUACCUACGUUGUAACCAAGUAAUUAAUUUGCCUCUUCGUUUUAGUUGUUAAUUUAAUUUAGUAUAGUUACUCUACUAAUUAGAGUUGAAAAAUUA
Long non-coding RNA from Zingiber officinale, 1799 nucleotides. RefSeq lists it as uncharacterized. Lineage: Eukaryota; Viridiplantae; Streptophyta; Magnoliopsida; Zingiberales; Zingiberaceae. The record is from RefSeq and is a predicted model, not a curated record. The transcript has 5 exons.